GCGCGAUUAGCUCAGCGGGAGAGCACUACCUUGACACGGUAGGGGUCGCUGGUUCAAUCCCAGUAUCGCGCA
This 72-nucleotide transfer RNA is filed under the name Kitasatospora cathayae. RNAcentral describes it as "tRNA-Val". It matches the Rfam family "tRNA". Rfam says of the family: Transfer RNA (tRNA) molecules are approximately 80 nucleotides in length. Their secondary structure includes four short double-helical elements and three loops (D, anti-codon, and T loops). Further hydrogen bonds mediate the characteristic L-shaped molecular structure. tRNAs have two regions of fundamental functional importance: the anti-codon, which is responsible for specific mRNA codon recognition, and the 3' end, to which the tRNAs corresponding amino acid is attached (by aminoacyl-tRNA synthetases). tRNAs cope with the degeneracy of the genetic code in two manners: having more than one tRNA (with a specific anti-codon) for a particular amino acid; and 'wobble' base-pairing, i.e. permitting non-standard base-pairing at the 3rd anti-codon position. The record is from RNAcentral. Lineage: Bacteria; Bacillati; Actinomycetota; Actinomycetes; Kitasatosporales; Streptomycetaceae.